Molecule: ribosomal RNA, 460 nt
Filed under: uncultured beta proteobacterium
Lineage: Bacteria; Pseudomonadati; Pseudomonadota; Betaproteobacteria
Description: bacterial SSU rRNA
Rfam family: Bacterial small subunit ribosomal RNA
Source: RNAcentral
AGGAAAGCAGGGGAUCGCAAGACCUUGCGCUCUUGGAGCGGCCGAUGUCUGAUUAGCUAGUUGGUGAGGUAAAGGCUUACCAAGGCGACGAUCAGUAGCUGGUCUGAGAGGACGACCAGCCACACUGGGACUGAGACACGGCCCAGACUCCUACGGGAGGCAGCAGUGGGGAAUUUUGGACAAUGGGGGAAACCCUGAUCCAGCCAUGCCGCGUGAGUGAAGAAGGCCUUCGGGUUGUAAAGCUCUUUCAGCCGGAACGAAACGGUCACGGCUAAUACCUGUGACCACUGACGGUACCGGAAGAAGAAGCACCGGCUAACUACGUGCCAGCAGCCGCGGUAAUACGUAGGGUGCAAGCGUUAAUCGGAAUUACUGGGCGUAAAGCGUGCGCAGGCGGUUUUGUAAGUCAGAUGUGAAUCCCCGGGCUUAACCUGGGAACUGCGUUUGAAACUACAAGGCU